GCCCUUGUAAUAUAGACUAAUAUACCGGUCUUGUAAACCGGAGACGGAUACCUUCCCCAGGGCA
RNAcentral lists this transfer RNA (64 nucleotides) under Pygathrix nigripes (Black-shanked douc langur). RNAcentral describes it as "tRNA-Thr". The record is from RNAcentral. Lineage: Eukaryota; Metazoa; Chordata; Mammalia; Primates; Cercopithecidae.